CCACGUGGGGCUGCAGUAGGGAAUCUUCCACAAUGGGCGAAAGCCUGAUGGAGCAACGCCGCGUGGGUGAAGAAGGUCUUCGGAUCGUAAAACCCUGUUGUUAGAGAAGAAAGUGCGUGAGAGUAACUGUUCACGUUUCGACGGUAUCUAACCAGAAAGCCACGGCUAACUGCGUGCCCGCAGCCGCGGUAAUACGUAGGUGGCAAGCGUUAUCCGGAUUGAUUGGGCGUAAAGGGAACGCAGGCGGUCUUUUAAGUCUGAUGUGAAAGCCUUCGGCUUAACCGGAGUAGUGCAUUGGAAACUGGGAGACUUGAGUGCAGAAGAGGAGAGUGGAACUCCAUGUGUAGCGGUGAGAUGCGUAGAUAUAUGGAAGAACACCAGUGGCGAAAGCGGCUCUCUGGUCUGUAACUGACGCUGAGGUUCGAAAGCGUGGGUAGCAAACAGGAUUAGAUAUCCUUGUAGUC
RNAcentral lists this ribosomal RNA (464 nucleotides) under uncultured bacterium. RNAcentral describes it as "partial 16S ribosomal RNA". It matches the Rfam family "Bacterial small subunit ribosomal RNA", at positions 339 to 795 of the family's 1533-position model. The record is from RNAcentral.